Molecule: ribosomal RNA, 334 nt
Filed under: uncultured Glomus
Lineage: Eukaryota; Fungi; Glomeromycota; Glomeromycetes; Glomerales; Glomeraceae
Description: SSU rRNA
Rfam family: Eukaryotic small subunit ribosomal RNA
Source: RNAcentral
AGCAGCCGCGGUAAUUCCAGCUCCAAUAGCGUAUAUUAAAGUUGUUGCAGUUAAAAAGCUCGUAGUUGAAUUUCGGGGUCAGUAGAUUGGUCGUGCCACUGGUAUGCACUGGUCUUACUGGCUCCUCCUUCCUGAUGAACCGUAAUGCCAUUAAUUUGGUGUUGCGGGGAGACUGGACUGUUACUUUGAAAAAUUAGAGUGUUUAAAGCAGGCUAACGCUUGAAUACAUUAGCAUGGAAUAAUGAAAUAGGACGUUCGAUCUUAUUUUGUUGGUUUCUAAGAUUGACGUAAUGAUUAAUAGGGAUAGUUGGGGGCAUUAGUAUUCAAUUAUCAG